AUUGAACGCUGGCGGCAGGCCUAACACAUGCAAGUCGAGCGGAUGAAGGGAGCUUGCUCCUGGAUUCAGCGGCGGACGGGUGAGUAAUGCCUAGGAAUCUGCCUGGUAGUGGGGGAUAACGUCCGGAAACGGGCGCUAAUACCGCAUACGUCCUGAGGGAGAAAGUGGGGGAUCUUCGGACCUCACGCUAUCAGAUGAGCCUAGGUCGGAUUAGCUAGUUGGUGGGGUAAAGGCCUACCAAGGCGACGAUCCGUAACUGGUCUGAGAGGAUGAUCAGUCACACUGGAACUGAGACACGCUCCAGACUCCUACGGGAGGCAGCAGUCGGGAAUAUUGGACAAUGGGCGGAAGCCUGAUCCAGCCAUGCCGCGUGUGUGAAAAAGGUCUUCGGAUUGUAAAGCACUUUAAGUUGGGAGAAAGGGCAGUAAGUUAAUACCUUGCUGUUUUGACGUUACCAACAGAAUAAGCACCGGCUAACUUCGUG
Molecule: ribosomal RNA, 484 nt
Filed under: uncultured bacterium
Lineage: Bacteria
Description: partial 16S ribosomal RNA
Rfam family: Bacterial small subunit ribosomal RNA
Source: RNAcentral